CAGUCGAACGCUUCUUUUUCCCCGGAGCAUGCUCCACCGGAAAAAGAAGAGUGGCGAACGGGUGAGUAACACGUGGGUAACCUGCCCAUCAGAAGGGGAUAACACUUGGAAACAGGUGCUAAUACCGUAUAACAAUCAAAACCGCAUGGUUUUGAUUUGAAAGGCGCUUUCGGGUGUCGCUGAUGGAUGGACCCGCGGUGCAUUAGCUAGUUGGUGAGGUAACGGCUCACCAAGGCCACGAUGCAUAGCCGACCUGAGAGGGUGAUCGGCCACAUUGGGACUGAGACACGGCCCAAACUCCUACGGGAGGCAGCAGUAGGGAAUCUUCGGCAAUGGACGAAAGUCUGACCGAGCAACGCCGCGUGAGUGAAGAAGGUUUUCGGAUCGUAAAACUCUGUUGUUAGAGAAGAACAAGGAUGAGAGUAACUGUUCAUCCCUUGACGGUAUCUAACCAGAAAGCCACGGCUAACUACGUGCCAGCAGCCGCGGUAAUACGUAGGUGGCAAGCGUUGUCCGGAUUUAUUGGGCGUAAAGCGAGCGCAGGCGGUUUCUUAAGUCUGAUGUGAAAGCCCCCGGCUCAACCGGGGAGGGUCAUUGGAAACUGGGAGACUUGAGUGCAGAAGAGGAGAGUGGAAUUCCAUGUGUAGCGGUGAAAUGCGUAGAUAUAUGGAGGAACACCAGUGGCGAAGGCGGCUCUCUGGUCUGUAACUGACGCUGAGGCUCGAAAGCGUGGGGAGCAACAGGAUUAGAUACCCUGGUAGUCACGCCGUAACGAUGAGUGCUAGUGUUGGAGGUUCCGCCCUC
This 804-nucleotide ribosomal RNA is filed under the name uncultured bacterium. RNAcentral describes it as "bacterial SSU rRNA". It matches the Rfam family "Bacterial small subunit ribosomal RNA", at positions 59 to 841 of the family's 1533-position model. The record is from RNAcentral.